AGAGUUUGAUCCUGGCUCAGGACGAACGCUGGCGGCGUGCCUAAUACAUGCAAGUCGUGCGGACUUAUCUUCGGAUAAGUUAGCGGCGGACGGGUGAGUAACACGUGGGCAACCUGCCUGUAAGACUGGGAUAACUCCGGGAAACCGGUGCUAAUACCAGAUACAAUCAAAGACCGCCUGGUCUUUGAUGGAAAGGUCUUGUACCGCUUACAGAUGGGCCCGCGGCGCAUUAGCUAGUUGGUGGGGUAAUGGCCUACCAAGGCGACGAUGCGUAGCCGACCUGAGAGGGUGAUCGGCCACACUGGGACUGAGACACGGCCCAGACUCCUACGGGAGGCAGCAGUAGGGAAUCUUCCGCAAUGGACGAAAGUCUGACGGAGCAACGCCGCGUGAGUGAUGAAGGCUUUCGGGUCGUAAAACUCUGUUGUCAGGGAAGAACAUCCGGGAUAACCUCCCGGUCUGACGGUACCUGAUCAGAAAGCCCCGGCUAACUACGUGCCAGCAGCCGCGGUAAUACGUAGGGGGCAAGCGUUGUCCGGAAUUAUUGGGCGUAAAGCGCGCGCAGGCGGUUUCUUAAGUCUGGUGUGAAAGCCCGCAGCUCAACUGCGGAGGGCCACUGGAAACUGGGAAGCUUGAGUGUAGGAGAGGAGAGCGGAAUUCCACGUGUAGCGGUGAAAUGCGUAGAUAUGUGGAGGAACACCCGUGGCGAAAGCGGCUCUCUGGCCUAUAACUGACGCUGAGGCGCGAAAGCGUGGGGAGCGAACAGGAUUAGAUACCCUGGUAGUCCACGCCGUAAACGAUGAGUGCUAGGUGUUGGGGACUCCAAUCCUCAGUGCCGCAGCUAACGCAAUAAGCACUCCGCCUGGGGAGUACGGCCGCAAGGCUGAAACUCAAAGGAAUUGACGG
Molecule: ribosomal RNA, 906 nt
Filed under: uncultured bacterium
Lineage: Bacteria
Description: bacterial SSU rRNA
Rfam family: Bacterial small subunit ribosomal RNA
Source: RNAcentral